GGAGUUGGUUAGACAGUCGCUGCUGCGCUGCUGCCAGCGUCGGUGGAGGAAAGUCCGGACUUCAUAGGGCAGGGUGCUAGGUAACGCCUAGACGGUGUGAGCCGAUGGAAAGUGCCACAGAGAAUAGACCGCCAACCCCGUUCACUUGACUGAAAUUAAGUAUCGGGCGGCAAGGGUGAAACGGUGCGGUAAGAGCGCACCGCGUGGCUGGCAACAGGCACGGCACGGCAAACCCCACCCGAAGCAAGACCAAAUAGGGAAGCGAUGCGAUGCAAGUCGCGGCAGGUUGCCCGCCUGAGUUUCCGGGUAGGUCGCUUGAGGCGCUCGGUGACGGGUGUCCCAGAUGAAUGACUGUUCACGACAGAAUCCGGCUUAACGACUGACUCCCACU
RNAcentral lists this RNase P RNA (391 nucleotides) under Thiospirillum jenense. Its description in RNAcentral is "Bacterial RNase P class A". It matches the Rfam family "Bacterial RNase P class A". From Rfam's summary of the family: Ribonuclease P (RNase P) is a ubiquitous endoribonuclease, found in archaea, bacteria and eukarya as well as chloroplasts and mitochondria. Its best characterised activity is the generation of mature 5'-ends of tRNAs by cleaving the 5'-leader elements of precursor-tRNAs. Cellular RNase Ps are ribonucleoproteins. Lineage: Bacteria; Pseudomonadati; Pseudomonadota; Gammaproteobacteria; Chromatiales; Chromatiaceae. The record is from Rfam by way of RNAcentral.